UACGUAGGGGGCAAGCGUUGUCCGGAUUUAUUGGGCGUAAAGAGCGUGUAGGCGGCCAGACAGGUCCGUUGUGAAAACUCGAGGCUCAACCUCGAGAUGUCGAUGGAAACCGUCUGGCUAGAGUCCGGAAGAGGAGUGUGGAAUUCCUGGUGUAGCGGUGAAAUGCGCAGAUAUCAGGAAGAACACCUAUGGCGAAGGCAGCACUCUGGGACGGUACUGACGCUGAGGAGCGAAAGCGUGGGGAGCGAACAGG
RNAcentral lists this ribosomal RNA (253 nucleotides) under uncultured bacterium. RNAcentral's name for it is "partial 16S ribosomal RNA". It matches the Rfam family "Bacterial small subunit ribosomal RNA", at positions 524 to 776 of the family's 1533-position model. The record is from RNAcentral.